UUUUACAAACAGAAUUAAUGAUAAUAUGUAGUUCAUAUCUAUCCCUUAAACCUUAUUUACCUACUUUCAAACCCAGGCAACGUGUUCCAAGUGUUCCUAACCCUAAAUAGUUCCUGCAUGUUCGAUCCUGUUUAGUUAUGCAUAUUACUCAAUAUCUAUUUCUAAUUAUCUAUGUGUAACAGAAAGGUGUUAUUGUAAGUUGUAAAUGUACAUCGUGGACCCUGUCUUGCACUGCAAUUGGAAAAUAAUACAUAAAUAGAACGUCUAAAAUUAACAAAUAUCCUCAAAUAAAAUAAAUUAAUUGCUGUACAGUGACUGACAUUGAUGGAAAAGUCAUAGUUUUUCCUUUCAAUAAUUAUCAUGUUGCUAUGAAAAUGCUACACUCAUAGCACUUCAAAAUUGUAAAUGUAAAUAUAAAAUACCCCCUAAACAUCCUAUCCACCUUAUCAUGUACUUUUAUCCUACCUCGUUUAAUUCUUAAAAUUGUUAGUUAUGUCUUAGCAAAGACUUUGCAUAAUGGAAUCAAAAAAAUUUUUUUUGGUUACAUUUUUAGAUGAAGAUGAUGCUCCUGGCAUAGUUUCAUCAAAGUGGUUAAGAUACCAACACUUGUUAUUACCCUAAUGUAUGCACUGAAGAAAUCAAAAACAAACUUGAAGAAGAUGCCUGCACCUGAAGCAACAUGGUCACAAUAUCAAAUAAAAAUACUUAAAAGUUAUGAAACUUAUGGCGAAGCACGAUUACAUUUAAAAAAAGCGGAAGAAACCUGAAAUUUGGACUCAGACGAAGCAGAAAAUGAUGUUACAAAUGAAGUGACAGUGGACAUAAUGUCUGCUGUAAAUUACCCAGUCACCUCCGGUUCUAAAGAGGCCAAGCAAACACAACUCAAAGCUGUUAACUGCCAAUCAGAGUGCAUUACAAACAAGCAAUAUGCUAUACAGCAGAGUCAUAUGAUUCAGAUUGUGUCAGACCUAGCUAACCAAAUGGCUGAAAUCAAUAGAAAAUUGGAUUUACCGUUAGCUAGGUCCGAAGAAACAUUUUCACCAACAGAUGACAAUGCAGGUCUUUCAGAACUUUUGGCAAGUCUACCAGUAAAGAUAUUGCAAGUUUUAAUAAUUUCGAUGACCAUUUAAAAAUAAACAAGAAUACAGGCAAUAAUGUCAUUUUUGUCUGGUAUUGGCGGCAGAAAUGUAAGAAGCCUUACGACUAAUAUGUUGAGACGAAUAAUUCUAGAUGAUGUAGCCGAGUUGUAUUCGUUAACUGGGAAACAGAUGAAAAAUUCGAAUAAAAAGUCAUUUAUGAGUACAGAAACCUAUAAAUUAAUCUUUCAAAUAUGUAGAAAAAUCAACGAAGAUGUAACUGAAGACAGUCUAAAAGAAAUUAUAAGUGAUUGGCUAAAUCAAGCUAAAGUUAGACUUUCAAGAAGGUAAGAUUUAAUUUAUUUACAUUAGAUGUAUUUUAUUUUACACUAGCGACCCGCCCCGGCUUCACACGGGUACAUGUAUUAUACAUAUGUAUAAAACAAAGUUGC
This is a long non-coding RNA of Ostrinia nubilalis (European corn borer), 1528 nucleotides long. RefSeq lists it as uncharacterized. The record is from RefSeq and is a predicted model, not a curated record. NCBI's taxonomy places the organism in Eukaryota, Metazoa, Arthropoda, Insecta, Lepidoptera, Crambidae. The transcript is spliced from 6 exons.